This 442-nucleotide ribosomal RNA is filed under the name uncultured bacterium. Its description in RNAcentral is "partial 16S ribosomal RNA". It matches the Rfam family "Bacterial small subunit ribosomal RNA", at positions 338 to 795 of the family's 1533-position model. The record is from RNAcentral.
CCUACGGGGGGCAGCAGUGGGGAAUAUUGGGCAAUGGACGCAAGUCUGACCCAGCAACGCCGCGUGAAGGAAGAAGGCUUUCGGGUUGUACACUUCUUUUAAGGGGGAAGAGCAGAAGACGGUACCCCUUGAAUAAGCCACGGCUAACUACGUGCCAGCAGCCGCGGUAAUACGUAGGUGGCAAGCGUUGUCCGGAUUUACUGGGUGUAAAGGGCGUGCAGCCGGAGAGGCAAGUCAGAUGUGAAAUCCGCGGGCUCAACUCGCGAACUGCAUUUGAAACUGCUUCCCUUGAGUAUCGGAGAGGUAAUCGGAAUUCCUAGUGUAGCGGUGAAAGGCGGAGAUAUUAGGAAGAACACCAGUGGCGAAGGCGGAUUACUGGACGACAACUGACGGUGAGGCGCGAAAGCGUGGGGAGCAAACAGGAUUAGAUACCCCUGUAGUC